This 1899-nucleotide long non-coding RNA is filed under the name Takifugu rubripes (torafugu). Its description in RNAcentral is "lncRNA (ENSTRUG00000031926.1)". Lineage: Eukaryota; Metazoa; Chordata; Actinopteri; Tetraodontiformes; Tetraodontidae. The record is from RNAcentral.
AUGUAUAUUGUUUGGAUUGCAUUUUCAGGUCUGGCUCCUCCUAACCAGGUCAGAGAAGGUGUGGUCACGGACUCAUCCAUAGAGCUGCUUUGGGAUCCAGCACAAGGAGAUUCUCAUGGUUAUGAAGUCAUGUGCCUCAACUGUGAGCAGCCACACAGGGUGCAGAAGGUGUCCAGUCAGAAUGCAGUGUUUUCUAGUCUGAUCCCAGGGACACGCUUCCAUUUUGUAGUACGAACAGAGAAGGAGUCCUUCACAGACAGUUACCCAGUAACCAUUAACAUCACCGCCGGUAUACCAACCCCCCACCCCCCCACCCCCACUAUACACACACACAAACUUUCAAACUUUCAUUCUUUACUGCAUAAUUUCAGCUCCCAGCCCAGUGGAGGUGUCUCUUCUCAAUAAAACCACAUCAUCCAUAUGUAUUGCUUGGAAUAUGAUCAGGGGUGUGGUGAGCGGAUUUAUCUUGUCAAUCACAAAUGCAACAUCCAGUGAGGAGCUGAUCAUUUCUCAGGAGGGGCACAGGUCGGUCUGUCCUACCUUUAUUCCAUUUUAUAAGAAUUGCUCUGAAGAAUACUUAAAAUGUGUGUGUGUGCACCUGUGUCUGUGUCUGUGUGUUCACAGAAAUUACAGUUUUGAAGGCCUUGCCCCUGGAAGCCAAUACACAAUUAAAGUGAUCAGCAUCAGCGGGGAAAAACGUAGUAAACCUUCUGACAUUAUCCUCCAUACUAGUACGUUGAAUAUGUACUGUGAGUCACAUGUGCGCAUAGAUAAUAGAUAUCCUUGACAACAGACAUCACUGAUAAAGGGAAACAUGAUUUUUCAGCUGUUCCAGUCUCGGCUUAGUUUCUGUCAUACAGGGUUGGUGGCUCAAAACAAUCCCUUGAACGUCUCCAUCAUAAUAUUAAUACCUGUUUGUCAUGUAGUUCCAGAGGUGCCGCAGGAAGUGGUUCUUUCAGGGCAGGUCGUCACAUCUGUGUUUGUCACCUGGAGACCGCCACCAGGAGGAGUGAAGGGGUACAAGAUUGUUUUCGGUCUGCUCUCUGCGGACCGGAGACUGUGGGUCGAGCAGCUUGUCCAGGGUACAAGUUAUGAGAUCACGGAUUUGAUCCCGGGGUCAGACUACUGUGUCAGCAUUCAGAGUGUGCUGGGAUUAGACGCAAGUCGGGCAAUACACAGAGAGUUCAGCACAAGUGAGAGACGCUUUGAUGAAAAAAUGGUUGAGGCAAAAAUCUUUUUGUAUCUGAAGGCUGCCUGUAAUCUUGUUGCAGAGCCAUCAGGAUUAUGCCCCCUACGCUUGGCAGACGUGACCUCUUCAUCAUUCUCCGUUUCCUGGGACAGUGCUUAUGGAGAGUUUGACUUCCACAGAGUCACUGUAACAAACACCUCAGUUACCAACACACUCGUCAUACCAAAGAAAGAGCGAGUUGCCGUGGUGACUGGACUGGUAGAAGGCUGCACCUAUAACGUGAGCGUUGAGAGAGUGAGAGGAGGGACAGCUGGAAGUGCUGCCUCUCUAAGGUUCAGCACAGGUAGUUGAUGCUCAAAGGAUACAAGGUUAUUGUCCCCUUCCCUCAUGGCCACUUAAUUAAAUGUCCUCUUCCUGUUAAUUCCCACCUGCCCUCCCCUGUCUUCAGUGCCAGCCAGCGUGCAAGGCAUGCAUAUUUUGAAUGUGUCAGCACGUGCAUUCUCACUGCGAUGGGAACAGGCGAAGGGGUGUGUGGAUCACUACUGGGUAAACCUGCAGCCAAACAAAGGAAAAGUAAUAGUGCAUCCUGCACACGACGGAUAUAUUCAGGUACACAAACAGGCUAGAUUCUUGACACCCUACCUCAAAUUUACUUUGCACGCAUGUCAAUAAGUUGAUACAGUUUAAAUAUGUUCAGUCUGUACAAUGUU